CCAAGCAAUCAAAAAUGAAUUUAACAAGAAGAGAGCUUCAGGUAACUGUUUCAAAUAAAUAGAUCUCCCUGAAAGAACAGUCUAGUGUCAGGUUAUCUGGAGCAAAGGGAGCGUAUAAACCGCGUCUGUUUCUGUGCUCACCAUCUGUGUUCCAAGAAUCUACGAUGUUUUCCUUGGCUGUGAUCCUCGCCUUGAUCUGCAUUGGAAGUUCAGUGACCAAUGCCCAAGUUGGUCUUCGCAUUGAACAAGGCAGCCUGAGCUUCAAAACUUUAAAACGGGUCAAGCUCCAGUUGUGUUUAAAAGUCCAUUCAGCACGCCACCUACCGUUAUUCUAAGCAUGACAAGAUUAGACUUCAACAAGGAUACUAACGUGAGAAUUGAUACUUACUACGAGAACUUAACCACCACUGGCUUUACACUGAAAAUAAAUUCGUGGCUUGAUACCACGGUGUAUAAUAUCCGAGUAUAUUGGUAUGCCAUUGGCUACUCCUCAUGGUAACCCUAACUUCUGAUUGUAAACAAAAUAAAAUCUAUUCAACAGACAUGUUCUGUUGUUGUUGUU
Molecule: long non-coding RNA, 562 nt
Organism: Biomphalaria glabrata
Lineage: Eukaryota; Metazoa; Mollusca; Gastropoda; Planorbidae
Exons: 3
Source: RefSeq, a predicted model, not a curated record